ACAGCAAUACAUAUGGUCCUAC
Molecule: non-coding RNA, 22 nt
Filed under: Arabidopsis thaliana (thale cress)
Lineage: Eukaryota; Viridiplantae; Streptophyta; Magnoliopsida; Brassicales; Brassicaceae
Source: RNAcentral